RNAcentral lists this ribosomal RNA (465 nucleotides) under uncultured bacterium. Its description in RNAcentral is "bacterial SSU rRNA". It matches the Rfam family "Bacterial small subunit ribosomal RNA", at positions 28 to 498 of the family's 1533-position model. The record is from RNAcentral.
GACGAACGCUGGCGGCGUGCCUAACACAUGCAAGUCGAACGGGACCAGGGGCAACUCUGGUUCAGUGGCGGACGGGUGCGUAACACGUGAGGAACAUGACCUUCGGCGGGGGAUAGCCGGCCCAACGGCCGGGUAAUACCGCGUACGACCUUUCGGGGACAUCCCUGGAUGGUGAAAGCAGCAAUGCGCCGAUGGAGUGCCUCGCGGCCUAUCAGCUAGUUGGUGAGGUAACGGCUCACCAAGGCGACGACGGGUAGCUGGUCUGAGAGGAUGGCCAGCCACAUUGGGACUGAGACACGGCCCAGACUCCUACGGGAGGCAGCAGUGGGGAAUAUUGCGCAAUGGACGAAAGUCUGACGCAGCGACGCCGCGUGUGGGAUGACGGUCUUCGGAUUGUAAACCACUGUCGGGAGGGACGAAUACGCCGCAAGGCGGGUGACGGUACCUCCAAAGGAAGCACCGGCU